AUCCGUCGAUUUGAAAAAUCGUGAGGGUUCAAGUCUCCUUU
This 41-nucleotide transfer RNA is filed under the name Leptocodon hirsutus. Its description in RNAcentral is "partial tRNA-Leu". The record is from RNAcentral. Lineage: Eukaryota; Viridiplantae; Streptophyta; Magnoliopsida; Asterales; Campanulaceae.